This 226-nucleotide long non-coding RNA is filed under the name Brassica napus (rape). Its description in RNAcentral is "long non-coding RNA (BNAP_LNC013490)". Lineage: Eukaryota; Viridiplantae; Streptophyta; Magnoliopsida; Brassicales; Brassicaceae. The record is from RNAcentral.
CGGCUACAACUUGCCUAUUUCCUAAUUCGUUUAUGUUUAUGAUUUGUAAUCUUUCCUAUUAUUGUAUUUCCAUUUAUCUCUCUUGUAACCCCUAUAUAAAGGGAACACUUAUUCAUUAAUAAUAUACAGAAACUUACAGUUCUAAAUCCUUAAGUUUACAACACGUUAUCAGCACGAUAGCCUCUAACACCCUGAGCCUAAAACCAAAUCGCUAAAACCCUAAAAC